AAUGGGUCCCCAUGGGUGACACAGAACUUUGGGAGCCUUGUCCCUUGCUCUCUCCAUCCCUAUCCUUCUCGUGAAUGCCACACAUUGGGGAAAAAAAAUAUGGAACAGAUAGCAGUAGCAAGGGCCAACAUCCAGUACAUCCAGUCCACCCACAGAAUGUUCUGAGGAUAAAUAAGGCAAUACACAUGCAAUGGCUUGAGAACUCUGAUUCACUCUACAAAACAGUGUUGCUGCUGAACAGCCAUGUACCCUACCCAGUGCCAUCUCCUUGGAUGUUCUAUGCUCCAUGUUUCUUCUCCUCCAGUACCCAGAGGCUAUUUCUAGAACAUUCCAUCCAGCAACUCAGAAGCUCAUAUUUCAAAUCAAACAAAGGACAACUUCUGGUGAAGUAGAAGAAAUCCACACCUUCCUUUCAGCCACAAAAACAAAGGCCAGGAGAGCCAAGAAGUUCCAAAUACUGAAACAUCCUUUCUUAUGUCAUGUCAUAUGAAUGAGCCCUGAUUAAAAC
Molecule: long non-coding RNA, 508 nt
Filed under: Suricata suricatta (meerkat)
Lineage: Eukaryota; Metazoa; Chordata; Mammalia; Carnivora; Herpestidae
Description: lncRNA (ENSSSUG00005002935.1)
Source: RNAcentral